GAUGAAGAACGCAGCGAAAUGCGAUAAGUAAUGUGAAUUGCAGAAUUCAGUGAAUCAUCGAAUCUUUGAACGCACAUUGCGCCCGUUAGCAUUCUAGCGGGCAUGCCUGUCCGAGCGUCAUUUCAACCCUCAGGGUCCCCGUUCCGGCGGGGAACCUGGUGUUGGGGAUCGGCCCGCCCCGUGCGGCGCCGUCCCCCAAAUUCAGUGGCGAUCUCGCUGCAGCCUCCCCUGCGUAGUAGUUACAACCUCGCAUCGGAGCUCAGCGCGGCCACGCCGUAAAACCCCCGACUUUCUGAACGUUGACCUCGGAUCAGGUAGGAAUACCCGCUGAACUUAAGCAUAUCAAUAAGCGGAGGA
This 357-nucleotide unclassified non-coding RNA is filed under the name soil metagenome. RNAcentral's name for it is "partial contains 5.8S ribosomal RNA, internal transcribed spacer 2, and large subunit ribosomal RNA". The stretch from base 1 to 120 matches the Rfam family "5.8S ribosomal RNA", at positions 35 to 154 of the family's 154-position model. The record is from RNAcentral.